AUAAGAGUAUCUGUGGAGAAUACUGGAAGCUCAGUGGAUUCAAAAUCCAUUAAAAAUUCAGAAACAAAGAUCAUACAUGGAAGUAAAUCAAUGGAUACUGGAAUAUCCUUGGACAAUAGCUACAAAAUGGAUUAUCCUGAAAUGGGUUUAUGUAUAAUCAUUAAUAAUAAGAACUUUCAUAAAAGCACAGGAAUGGCGGCUCGCUCUGGUACAGAUGUAGAUGCAGCAAACCUCAGGGAAACAUUCAUGAACUUGAAAUACGAAGUCAAGAAUAAAAAUGAUUUGACCCGUGAAGAAAUUAUGGAAGUAAUGUACAAUGUUUAUAAAGAAGAUCACAGCAAAAGGAGCAGUUUUGUUUGCGUGCUUCUGAGCCAUGGUGAAGAAGGAGUAAUUUUUGGAACAAAUGACCUCUUGACUUGAAAAAAAUAACAAGUUUUUUCAGAGGGGAUUACUGUAGAAGUCUAACUGGAAAACCCAAACUUUUCAUUAUUCAGGCCUGCCGAGGUACAGAACUGGACUUUGGCAUUGAGACCGACAGCGGUAUUUAUGAUGAUAUGGCAUGUCAGAAAAUUCCAGUGGAGGCCGACUUCUUGUAUGCAUACUUCACAGCACCUGGUUACUAUUCCUGGCGAAAUUCAAAAGAUGGGUCCUGGUUUAUCUAGUCACUGUGUGCCAUGCUGAAACAGUAUGCUAACAAGCUGAAGUUCAUGCACAUUCUUACCCGGGUUAACCGAAUGGUGGCAACAGAAUUUGAGUCCUUUUCUUUUGACAUUACUUUUCAUGCAAAGAAACAGAUUCCUUGUAUUGUGUCCAUGCUCACAAAAGAGCUAUAUUUUUAUCACUAAAGAAUUGAUUGGUUGUUUGGGGUUUUUUUAGUUUAUGCCAAGUGAGAAAACAGUGUAACUGGUUCUGUAUUUCCCCCCUCAUUUAAAUCUAGCUUAAUGACUCAAAUGGUACUUUGAGACAUACCACUUUCAUAGAGUAGAACCAAUACAAAGCUACCUCAAACUCAGUCAGGUAGUCAAAAGUGAAUUUGAUUAGGAGUAAGUAAAAAUGAAUAAUGGUGCAGUCAUGAGAAGAAAUGUUUGUAAAUUUAUAGCUUUCAUAAUUUACAAGUUUUAGUGAUGCUAUGCCAUGAAUUUUCAAGUAAUUAUGAAAAAGUUAAAAUUGCAAUAAUGAAUUUUAAUGAUAUCCUUCCACUUGAGACUGUGCAUUCUAGUUUUUGUCAAACUAUAGAAAUGAUUAUAUGGAGGUACAUAGGGAUCC
RNA transcript from Carlito syrichta (Philippine tarsier), 1266 nucleotides. It is a transcript of the gene named caspase-3-like, with no coding region annotated. The record is from RefSeq and is a predicted model, not a curated record. The transcript has a single exon. Lineage: Eukaryota; Metazoa; Chordata; Mammalia; Primates; Tarsiidae.